Molecule: ribosomal RNA, 161 nt
Filed under: uncultured bacterium
Lineage: Bacteria
Description: partial 16S rRNA
Rfam family: Bacterial small subunit ribosomal RNA
Source: RNAcentral
GGAAUCUUCGGCAAUGGGCGCAAGCCUGAUGGAGCAACGCCGCGUGAGUGAAGAAGGUCUUCGGAUCGUAAAACUCUGUUGUUAGAGAAGAACAUGCAGGAGAGUAACUGUUCUUGUAUUGACGGUAUCUAACCAGAAAGCCACGGCUAACUACGUGCCAG